RNAcentral lists this ribosomal RNA (468 nucleotides) under uncultured bacterium. RNAcentral's name for it is "partial 16S ribosomal RNA". It matches the Rfam family "Bacterial small subunit ribosomal RNA", at positions 28 to 507 of the family's 1533-position model. The record is from RNAcentral.
GACGAACGCUGGCGGCGUGCUUAACACAUGCAAGUCGAACGGUAAGGACCUGCUUUUGUGGGGUGCUCGAGUGGCGCAAGCGGGAGUGACACGCGAGUGACCUGCCCUUGAGUUUGGGAUAACUUCAGUGAACAGGAGCUCUUAUCGGACAGGAGCACCUUCUGCAUGGUGGGGGUUGGAGAGUUUCGUCAGUUCAGGACGGACGGGCGGUUUAUCAGUUUGUUGGUGGGGUAGUGAGUUACCAAGGCGUUGACGAGUAGCCGGACUGAGAGGGUGACCGGCCACAUUGGGACUGGGGAACGGGCCAGACGCCUACGGGAGGAAGCAGUGGGGAAUAGUGCAAGAUGGGCGGAAGCCUGGUGCAGCAACGCCGCGUCGGAGAUGACGGUCGUCGGGGUGGAACCCUGGUGCGCCUGUGACGAAGAGCGAGUGACGGUAAUUGGUAAAGAAGCAACGGCUAACUACGUG